Brachypodium distachyon (stiff brome) is the source of this 313-nucleotide long non-coding RNA. RefSeq lists it as uncharacterized. The transcript has 3 exons. The record is from RefSeq and is a predicted model, not a curated record. NCBI's taxonomy places the organism in Eukaryota, Viridiplantae, Streptophyta, Magnoliopsida, Poales, Poaceae.
AGAAAAGGUCCUGGAAGAAAUUAGUGAACGUUGUUGUGUCAGGUGCAGCCGGAAUGAUAUCAAAUCAUCUGCUUUUAAAACUUGCCUCCGGUGAGAUUUUUGGACAGGACCAACCAAUAACACUCAAAAUUAUUGGUCUCCGAAAGAUCAUUAUAAGCACUAGAAGGUGAUAUGCCAGCCAACUUGGAAGACCUUCAGAAGAGAAGGGAGUUGAUUAGCUUUGAUGACAGCCGGCUGUAAGAAGGAAAACAUUUUUUUUGGGAAUCUAUGUUUGUGAUUUUGGGUACUAGGGCCUAGGAGUUUUACUGUUGUA